RNAcentral lists this long non-coding RNA (224 nucleotides) under Vigna radiata. Its description in RNAcentral is "long non-coding RNA (VRAD_LNC001152)". Lineage: Eukaryota; Viridiplantae; Streptophyta; Magnoliopsida; Fabales; Fabaceae. The record is from RNAcentral.
GGUUUACUCUAACUAAGCUACAUCUAGUCUCUUCUAACCUUAGAGGGUUCCACUAUAAUCUUCAACAAGAUUAUAACUAUGUAUCUCACCAUUCCUGCUAUCCCCAUACAAUCCUGGUAUUCCAUGAUACACUACCUAGUUGAGUUUCACUCACUCUUGAUUGCACAAUAUUCUUCACCAUUCCUGGUAUCCCUAGUCAAUGAAUAACACUUAUUACCCUGCCU